RNAcentral lists this long non-coding RNA (321 nucleotides) under Olea europaea (common olive). RNAcentral's name for it is "long non-coding RNA (OEUR_LNC014124)". The record is from RNAcentral. Lineage: Eukaryota; Viridiplantae; Streptophyta; Magnoliopsida; Lamiales; Oleaceae.
UUAUCAACAUUCUUCUCUUUAGGUUCAAUUUUCUUGUUAUAGCAGUCUUUUAUGUAAUGACCAAGCUUACCACAGCCAUAGCACCUCCUGUUAUUCCUAGAUUUUGAUUUAGAUCUUGAUUUACUCCUGAACUUCUUCCUAUUACUGUUUCCAGAAUUGUUUUGAUUUGGAUAGUUAUUAUUUUGCCUAUUUGGUUGCCUCCCCUCAUGUACAAACUCUCAUGUUCCUUCCCAUAUUUUUCAAUUUUAAGUUCCAAUUCUUUACUUCUUAUGGAAUUUAUAACAACUUCUGGAGUCAAAGUAUCUCUGCCAUACUUAAUGG